CAUGAGCUUGGGAUUCAUGCCAGCAAAGUUUCUGAGGGGCCUUUUCUCACCCUGUGUUCUGUGCAUAAGUUUCUCCUUCUUAGAGCCUUUUCCUCUGUUUAGGAACAAACUUUGUUUUAUGAUCCCUAAAGCGGUUAGCAACUGAUGACUUUUCCACAGCCGAGGAUGAAAGACCAUGUUGCAGGUUUCAGAGACUGAGGUCCUUAAGAAACAGCUUCUGGUCUAGAUUUGACACAUUUGUGGACACUUGGUUCUAAACUACUGUUAAGCAUUAGUAAAGCCUUGCUUGCUUAUGAAAAAUGCAUUCUAAAAUGGACUUGGGGUGCCUAAAACAUAUGACAUUAAGAAAGAGCGUUAGGAAUAUACAAACAAUCAAUAUUUGGAGAAUUAAUUAUGCUAAAUUUAAGACUAAUGUAGUUGUUACAAUUGAGUAAUGCUUUUGAGCUUCCUGGUGGCCAGGGUUAAAAGAAAAGUCUAACAAAAGAGGAAACAGAAUGAUUUCUAGGGAGAAAUAAUAGAUUUUAUUUCAUUUCAUAUAUUUUGCCACAGAUACAGUUGAAAAAAAUAUGUCACAUAAAACCUUCUAAUGGGGGGCACUAAUAGGUACAAUGGAAAAUGCCCUCUCUAGCAACAUUAAAACUAAGACAAAACUGGUUUUUAAAUGUUUGCUUGAUAAAUCAACUUUGAUGUUUAAUAAAGAACUUGGGUGCAUAGGAAGCAUUCAAUAGUUGUUGAAUGAAUAAAUGAAUAAAUGAAUGAAUGAAGAAAAAGAUUUAAAAAUGUUCAUUUUACUUAAUGACCUGAUAACUUCUCCUGGAAUUAACUAUGAAUUUCACUACACCCAUGAGAACUAUGGAAAAUUUUUCAGUUUCAAAUCUCAAACUUUUCUGAGUAAUGGGUGUAAUGAAAUUCUUCCGUGGUUAUGUUCAAUAUUUGGGCAAAAGCAGAACAUGCUGGAAGGGAUCAUGCUGUAUAAAUGUUUUUCUUUCUUUAGCUACUGCGGUAAGCCUGUCUCUGCUUCUCUGCUAGUUUUAGAAGUGGCAUUCUUACCAUCCUUGGAACAGUACUCGGUCAGGCCCACUUUGGCCUCUGACAGUACGGAGUUGACGAGUCAGCCUCUUUUUAUGUGAAAACAUCUAUCAUGUCUCCCCAAAGACUUGACUAAACAUUCUUCUGAUAUGAGGUAAUUAUUUCUUAUUUGCUGCAUUUGUUGUGAACACUGAUAAUCUCGUGAAGAUCUAUUAUGUGUCAACUUACUCCUUUCUGAUCUACUUAACUAGUGGAUGCCAUCUUUAGAUGUAUGUGUUGUAGUGG
This is a long non-coding RNA of Callithrix jacchus (white-tufted-ear marmoset), 1314 nucleotides long. The record is from Ensembl. NCBI's taxonomy places the organism in Eukaryota, Metazoa, Chordata, Mammalia, Primates, Cebidae.